GACGAACGCUGGCGGCGUGCUUAACACAUGCAAGUCGAACGCUGAAGACCUGGCUUUUGUUGGGUUGGAUGAGUGGCGAACGGGUGAGUAACACGUGAGUAACCUGCCCUCUUCUUUGGGAUAACGCCCGGAAACGGGUGCUAAUACUGGAUAUUCACUGGCCUUCGCAUGGGGGUUGGUGGAAAGGUUUGUUCUGGUGGGGGAUGGGCUCGCGGCCUAUCAGCUUGUUGGUGGGGUGAUGGCCUACCAAGGCUUUGACGGGUAGCCGGCCUGAGAGGGUGACCGGUCACAUUGGGACUGAGAUACGGCCCAGACUCCUACGGGAGGCAGCAGUGGGGAAUAUUGCACAAUGGGCGAAAGCCUGAUGCAGCGACGCCGCGUGAGGGAUGGAGGCCUUCGGGUUGUAAACCUCUUUCGCUCAUGGUCAAGCCGAAACUGUGGGUUGUGGUGAGGGUAGUGGGUAAAGAAGCGCCGGCUAACUACGUG
This 486-nucleotide ribosomal RNA is filed under the name uncultured bacterium. RNAcentral's name for it is "partial 16S ribosomal RNA". It matches the Rfam family "Bacterial small subunit ribosomal RNA", at positions 28 to 507 of the family's 1533-position model. The record is from RNAcentral.